Molecule: ribosomal RNA, 253 nt
Filed under: uncultured bacterium
Lineage: Bacteria
Description: partial 16S ribosomal RNA
Rfam family: Bacterial small subunit ribosomal RNA
Source: RNAcentral
GACGAACCGUGCGAACGUUGUUCGGAAUCACUGGGCUUAAAGGGUGCGUAGGCGGGCUCGUCAGUCGGGGGUGAAAUCCCACGGCCCAACCGUGGAAGUGCCUCCGAUACUGCGGACCUGGAGGGGGAUAGGGGCGCGCGGAACUUCCGGUGGAGCGGUGAAAUGCGUAGAUAUCGGAAGGAACACCGGUGGCGAAAGCGGCGCGCUGGAUCCCUACUGACGCUGAGGCACGAAAGCCAGGGGAGCAAACGGG